This 253-nucleotide ribosomal RNA is filed under the name uncultured bacterium. RNAcentral describes it as "partial 16S ribosomal RNA". It matches the Rfam family "Bacterial small subunit ribosomal RNA", at positions 524 to 776 of the family's 1533-position model. The record is from RNAcentral.
UACGUAGGUGGCAAGCGUUAUCCGGAAUUAUUGGGCGUAAAGCGCGCGUAGGCGGUUUCUUAAGUCUGAUGUGAAAGCCCACGGCUCAACCGUGGAGGGUCAUUGGAAACUGGAGGACUUGAGUGCAGAAGAGGAAAGUGGAAUUCCAAGUGUAGCGGUGAAAUGCGUAGAGAUUUGGAGGAACACCAGUGGCGAAGGCGACUUUCUGGUCUGUAACUGACGCUGAGGCGCGAAAGCGCGGGGAGCAAACAGG